UUGGAGGGCAAGUCUGGUGCCAGCAGCCGCGGUAAUUCCAGCUCCAAUAGCGUAUAUUAAAGUUGUUGCAGUUAAAAAGCUCGUAGUUGAAUUUCGGGAUUGACGUGAUGGUCGUGCCUUACGGGGUAUGAACUGUUGCUGUUGAUUUCUCACCUUCUGGAGAAACUUGAUGUCCUUAAUUGGGUGUCUUGCGGAUCCAGGACCUUUACCUUGAAAAAAUUAGAGUGUUUAAAGCAGGCAUUUUGCUCGAAUACAUUAGCAUGGAAUAAUAGAAUAGGACGGCAUGGUUCUAUUUUGUUGGUUUCUAGGAUCACCGUAAUGAUUAAUAGGGAUAGUUGGGGGCAUUAGUAUUCAAUUGUCAGAGGUGAAAUUCUUGGAUUUAUUGAAGACUAACUACUGCGAAAGCAUUUGCCAAGGAUGUUUUCAUUAAUCAAGAACGAAAGUUAGGGGAUCGAAGACGAUCAGAUACCGUCGUAGUCUUAACCAUAAACUAUGCCGACUAGGAAUCAGACGAUGUUAAUUUUUUAAUGACUCGUUCGGCGCCUUACGGGAAAC
Molecule: ribosomal RNA, 555 nt
Filed under: uncultured Glomeromycotina
Lineage: Eukaryota; Fungi; Glomeromycota
Description: SSU rRNA
Rfam family: Eukaryotic small subunit ribosomal RNA
Source: RNAcentral